GAUACUGUUGUCAUUAGCGUUUCUUGUCGUUAAAAAUGGGAAAUUAUUAGGCGAUAGUGUCGGGUAUAGAUUACGAUCCAAUGUUCCAGAUCGCUGUCAUUAACGAGAGUUGUCGGUGGUAGACUAAGAGGGAGCUGCCGCGCAAUGCCGCGCAAUGCGUGAUGGGAGUCGAGCAGACCAGCUGAUCAGCAUGAUCAAAAUGGCGGCCUUUUCGUAGCGAUAGCCCGGUAUCCAGCCGUAUAUAGCUCCUGUUCUCUCCGUAUCAUAGCUCCCGAGCACUGUCCCGAGUCUCUUCUGUUCUCUCCGCAAAUGGCAGGCGAGACUUGAGAGCUACAAUAUGGCUGGAUACCAGGCUAGAUGUAGCCUUAUGUGCGAUGUAAAAGCAAGUACCCGUACAACGGUCGUUUAUAUAAUUUUUCAAAAGAUUAUGGUUAGCAUCUGUGAAGAUAACACCACAUUGAUACUGAUAGGAGCCAUAGUUUUGAUAGUUGCUUGGUGGCACGAGGUAGAUUCACAGCGGUAACCAGAAAAUCUCGGCGUACAAUUACGGCUGUCAACGUAACGCUCCCGGCUCCAGCCUUACAGGUACCAGACUCAACACAUGGCCGAACUAUUGGUGCAUAUGAGGAAAGCAGGCAUACCGGGACCAGUCUCCUUGCCUUUGGGACCAAGGGCGAUAUGGAAUACCCCGUGUUGUAUUCUAUUUAUAUCAUGCCAACCUGAGCAAACUCAAGUUUAUUGCUAAAAAGAACAAAUGACGGGACAAGAAGCUGAUGAUCAUGCAGCAGUCGAUUACCUGUUUCUACAUAGAGGAAUUAUUCAGUAACACCAGCCAUGUCCUAUUUUUUAAUGCAGUGAGGCUUAAACAAUAUGUCUCAUCGUCCUCAUCGGUCCCUUGACCAGGGGUGGUCGUGGGAGCACUUUGCUACUGAGCAAAUGAACAAUGAGUCUGUAAAAAGUUAAACUAGUAGUAGUAGAGGUGUACAGACAGCUUGUAUAUAGAAAGUUUUUUUUGUUAUUCUGCAGUGUGCUGUGUUUGUUAUCAUGUUAUAAUUGCUGUAACUCAGAUUCAAAUUCUUUUAAAAUCAUGUCUCUUUAGAUGGAAGAUAUAGUACUAGUAGAGUACAUUGAGUAGAAAAUGUUGAGGUUGUAUCUGUUUUGCAUGUUAAUUACAACUAACUUGUAUUAUACAUGAUGCAGAGAACUUUCUAAUGUUCUGUGUUGUAUUAGAUAUUCCAUGUAACAGCCUUUGCAUGUAAGGUAGCUAUGGGGAAGGAUGGAUUAGUUGUAUGUUUCAGAUGCUCAUCCAAAAAUAUUUAGGUAUAUGGGCAAUUGCUGAUGACUUUCAAAACACCAAAACACAGCGUUGGAGC
Molecule: long non-coding RNA, 1373 nt
Organism: Branchiostoma floridae (Florida lancelet)
Lineage: Eukaryota; Metazoa; Chordata; Leptocardii; Amphioxiformes; Branchiostomatidae
Exons: 2
Source: RefSeq, a predicted model, not a curated record